RNAcentral lists this ribosomal RNA (499 nucleotides) under uncultured bacterium. Its description in RNAcentral is "partial 16S ribosomal RNA". It matches the Rfam family "Bacterial small subunit ribosomal RNA", at positions 30 to 523 of the family's 1533-position model. The record is from RNAcentral.
AUUGAACGCUGGCGGCAUGCUUUACACAUGCAAGUCGAACGGUAACAGGGUGCUUGCACCGCUGACGAGUGGCGAACGGGUGAGUAAUGUAUCGGAACGUACCGUGUAAUGGGGAUAACGCAUCGAAAGGUGUGCUAAUACCGCAUACGCCCUGAGGGGGAAAGUGGGGGACCGAAAGGCCUCACGUUAUACGAGCGGCCGAUAUCUGAUUAGCUAGUUGGUGAGGUAAAGGCUCACCAAGGCGACGAUCAGUAGCGGGUCUGAGAGGAUGAUCCGGCACACUGGGACUGAGACACGGCCCAGACUCCUACGGGAGGCAGCAGUGGGGAAUUUUGGACAAUGGGCGAAAGCCUGAUCCAGCAAUGCCGCGUGCAGGAAGAAGGCCUUCGGGUUGUAAACUGCUUUUGUACGGAGCGAAAAGGUCUCCUCUAAUACAGGGGGCUCAUGACGGUACCGUAAGAAUAAGCACCGGCUAACUACGUGCCAGCCGCCGCCGUAA